GAUGAACGCUAGCGAUAGGCUUAACACAUGCAAGUCGAGGGGCAGCAUAACCUAGCAAUAGGUUGAUGGCGACCGGCGCACGGGUGCGUAACGCGUAUGCAACCUACCCAUAUUACAGGCAUAACCCGUUGAAAGACGGACUAAUUUCUGAUGGCACUUUAUUUUCGCAUGGGAGUAAAGUUAAACAUUUAUGGAAUAUGGAUGGGCAUGCGUUCCAUUAGAUAGUUGGUAAGGUAACGGCUUACCAAGUCAACGAUGGAUAGGGGAACUGAGAGGUUUAUCCCCCACACUGGUACUGAGACACGGACCAGACUCCUACGGGAGGCAGCAGUGAGGAAUAUUGGUCAAUGGACGGAAGUCUGAACCAGCCAAUUCGCGUGAAGGAAGACUGCCCUACGGGUUGUAAACUUCUUUAGCAGGGGAGUAAAGUCAGGCAUGUAUGCUUGAUUGCAAGUACCCUGAGAAUAAGCAUCGGCUAACUCCGUGCCAGCCGCCGCGGUAA
This 502-nucleotide ribosomal RNA is filed under the name uncultured bacterium. RNAcentral's name for it is "partial 16S ribosomal RNA". It matches the Rfam family "Bacterial small subunit ribosomal RNA", at positions 28 to 523 of the family's 1533-position model. The record is from RNAcentral.